This is a non-coding RNA of Ixodes scapularis (black-legged tick), 71 nucleotides long. Lineage: Eukaryota; Metazoa; Arthropoda; Arachnida; Ixodida; Ixodidae. The record is from Rfam.
GGUCACUGGUGUAACGGUUAGCACUCUGGACUCUGAGUCCAACGAUCCGAGUUCAAAUCUCGGUGAGACCU